GGGCUGGCGACGGAAGUGACGUCAGAGCUCGUGCGUGCGUGAGGGAAGAUGGCGGAGGCGGUGGAGAGCAGAGCGAGACUCACUCGGGAGCUGGAGGCCCCUGGAGGGACUGCAGCAGCCCUUGUUUAUGGCCAGCUUCUGGCUUUGUCCCUGCUGCACAGCGACACGUGAGUGGCUUCUCUCCACCUGUGGCUUUAGCCCCGGGGUUUGUCACCAGCAGCUCGAGCUGCAGCCGCCAGAACUGAGGAAUUGGUUGUGAAUAACAGGCGGUAUCUCUGGAAAAGAAUCCCUCCUCCCAUCAGAUCUGUAAGUACUGGAUUUCCAGCUGUGACCACUGUAGAGAAGACAUUCUUCUGGAUGAACACUUGGGAGGGGUUUUGGUCACAACAGGCAAAUGCUGAACAUGGUGCAGUUUGGUCAGUGGGACAGAGAAUCUGGCAGAGAGACUUGGAAGCACUCAGAGGUCCAAAGUGACCUUGUGUGGGCAGCAGGGAAUUGCCUGAAAUGAUUCCUGUGUGCUCAAACACUAAUUAUGAGAAAUGAGAACUGCUGCCAAAUUUGUGUGGGUUUUCCUGAAAGGAUUUUAGGUAUUAGGUGUAAAUAAAAACCUCAUGACAAAACCUUGUAAAAA
Long non-coding RNA from Neopelma chrysocephalum (saffron-crested tyrant-manakin), 631 nucleotides. RefSeq lists it as uncharacterized. The transcript has 3 exons. NCBI's taxonomy places the organism in Eukaryota, Metazoa, Chordata, Aves, Passeriformes, Pipridae. The record is from RefSeq and is a predicted model, not a curated record.